UGGAUUAUAUUUAAUUAUAAUAUCUGAUUUGCAUUCAGAAGGUGCAAAAAUUGCUAAUCUAA
RNAcentral lists this transfer RNA (62 nucleotides) under Uzeldikra longiprocessa. RNAcentral describes it as "tRNA-Ala". Lineage: Eukaryota; Metazoa; Arthropoda; Insecta; Hemiptera; Cicadellidae. The record is from RNAcentral.